This 201-nucleotide ribosomal RNA is filed under the name uncultured Lactobacillus sp. RNAcentral describes it as "partial 16S ribosomal RNA". It matches the Rfam family "Bacterial small subunit ribosomal RNA", at positions 159 to 355 of the family's 1533-position model. Lineage: Bacteria; Bacillati; Bacillota; Bacilli; Lactobacillales; Lactobacillaceae. The record is from RNAcentral.
GAUGCUAAUACCGGAUAACAACAGAUGAUGCCUAUCAACUGUUUAAAAGAUGGUUCUGCUAUCACUCUUGGAUGGACCUGCGGUGCAUUAGCUAGUUGGUAGGGUAACGGCCUACCAAGGCGAUGAUGCAUAGCCGAGUUGAGAGACUGAUCGGCCACAUUGGGACUGAGACACGGCCCAAACUCCUACGGAGGCAGCAGC